GAGUUUGAUCAUGGCUCAGAACGUACGCUGGCGGCACGCCUAACACAUGCAAGUCGAACGAAGUAGCAAUACUUAGUGGCAGACGGGUGAGUAACAUGUAGGUAUCUGCCCUUUGGCCUGGAAUAACACGAGGAAACUUGUGCUAAUACCGGAUAAGUCUUUACGGAGAAAGCUUUAUGCACCAUUGGAUGAGCCUGCACUUGAUUAGUUUGUUGGUGGGGUAAUGGCCUACCAAGACUGUGAUCAAUAGCUGAUUUGAGAGGAUGAUCAGCCACAUUGGGACUGAGACACGGCCCAAACUCCUACGGGAGGCAGCAGUGGGGAAUAUUGCACAAUGGAGGAAACUCUGAUGCAGCGAUGCCGCGUGAGUGAAGAAGGCCCUUGGGUUGUAAAGCUCUUUCGUCGGGGAAGAAAAUGACUGUACCCGAAUAAGAAGGUCCGGCUAACUUCGUGCCAGCAGCCGCGGUAAUACGAAGGGACCUAGCGUAGUUCGGAAUUACUGGGCUUAAAGAGUUCGUAGGUGGUUGAAAAAGUUGGUGGUGAAAUCCCAGAGCUUAACUCUGGAACUGCCAUCAAAACUUUUCAGCUAGAGUAUGAUAGAGGAAAGCAGAAUUUCUAGUGUAGAGGUGAAAUUCGUAGAUAUUAGAAAGAAUACCAAUUGCGAAGGCAGCUUUCUGGAUCAUUACUGACACUGAGGAACGAAAGCAUGGGUAGCGAAGAGGAUUAGAUACCCUCGUAGUCCAUGCCGUAAACGAUGUGUGUUAGACGUUGGAAAUUUAUUUUCAGUGUCGCAGCGAAAGCGAUAAACACACCGCCUGGGGAGUACGACCGCAAGGUUAAAACUCAAAUGAAUUGACGGGGACCCGCACAAGUAGUGGAGCAUGUGGUUUAAUUCGAAGAUACGCGCAGAACCUUACCAACACUUGACAUGUUCGUCGCGACUUUAAGAGAUUAAAGUUUUCGGUUCGGCCGGACGAAACACAGGUGCUGCAUGGCUGUCGUCAGCUCGUGUCGUGAGAUGUUGGGUUAAGUCCCGCAACGAGCGCAACCCUCACUUUUAGUUGCCAUCAUUAAGUUGGGCACUCUGAAAGAACUGCCAGUGAUAAGCUGGAGGAAGGUGGGGAUGACGUCAAGUCCUCAUGGCCCUUACGUGUUGGGCUACACACGUGCUACAAUGGUAUCUACAACAGGAAGCGAGACGGCGACGUCAAGCAAAUCCUUAAAAGAUACCUCAGUUCGGAUUGCACUCUGCAACUCGAGUGCAUGAAGCUGGAAUUACUAGUAAUCGUGGAUCAGCGUGCCACGGUGAAUGCGU
Molecule: ribosomal RNA, 1315 nt
Filed under: unidentified marine bacterioplankton
Lineage: Bacteria
Description: bacterial SSU rRNA
Rfam family: Bacterial small subunit ribosomal RNA
Source: RNAcentral